UUUAGUGUUUAGAAUAUGAAUCCCUCAUCUUGUCACUGACCAGCUUCUUUGUCCUCAGGUAUCCCUUCCACUUCUCCUUCUUUGUCCCUAGAAUCCAUGGUUAGCACCAGAUUCUGCUAAACUCUCCCACCACCUGAUAACUUGUUCCUGUCUCUCCAUUAGUAGAGCCUCCUGAUGCCUAGCACAAUGGGCCCCUUGAAGACCUGCCCUCCCCUGGAAGACAAGCACAACCAUUCCUCUGAGCUGGAAGAGACCUUGGAGUUUAUCUGACAAAAGAGAGACUUGCAGUGACUUCCAUGACAUCACAGAGCUGUUUCAGUGCAAAGCCAGCUUCAGAACCUUUCUCUUCCAUCACUUGAUGCCACCUCUUCAACUUCUCUGGGUCUAGUCCAGGAGCAGCAGGUACAAUUGGCUUCCCAAAGAGAGUUUUCAUUAAUUUCUUGCAUUAGUAAUUGAACUCUAGACCACUCUAAAAGAUACCUUUGGGAGCAAGAACUCUCUUCAGGAUCCAGGCCUUCUGCUCCUAAAUCCUCUGGUUGUAUAGGGGCAGACCCUGUGUUGGCCACCUGGUCCUUAGUGUUGCCUGAGACUGGCAGUGAGACGGCUCAACUUGAGGGCCCAAUAUCAGGUAGUAAAAAGAGGUGUUAUUUAUUGAAUCUCCUCUCUGCAU
This 670-nucleotide long non-coding RNA is filed under the name Vulpes vulpes (red fox). Its description in RNAcentral is "lncRNA (ENSVVUG00000014513.1)". The record is from RNAcentral. Lineage: Eukaryota; Metazoa; Chordata; Mammalia; Carnivora; Canidae.